This 371-nucleotide ribosomal RNA is filed under the name uncultured organism. Its description in RNAcentral is "partial 16S ribosomal RNA". It matches the Rfam family "Bacterial small subunit ribosomal RNA", at positions 527 to 896 of the family's 1533-position model. The record is from RNAcentral.
GGAGGGUGCAAGCGUUGUUCGGAAUUACUGGGCGUAAAGCGCGCGUAGGCGGGUUAUCAAGUCGAUUGUGAAAUCCCGGAGCUUAACUCCGGACGUGCAGUCGAAACUGGUAAUCUUGAAUACCUAAGAGGAUGGCGGAAUUCCCGGUGUAGGAGUGAAAUCCGUAGAUAUCGGGAGGAACACCCGAGGCGAAGGCGGCCAUCUGGUGGUGUAUUGACGCUGAGGCGCGAAAGCGUGGGGAGCAAACAGGAUUAGAUACCCUGGUAGUCCACGCCGUAAACGAUGAUUACUAGGUGCUCGAAGAACUAACUCUUUGGGUACCGUAGCUCACGCAUUAAGUAAUCCGCCUGGGGAGUACGGUCGCAAGGCUA